GGGACACGUGGUAUCCUGUCUGAAUAUGGGGGGACCAUCCUCCAAGGCUAAAUACUCCUGACUGACCGAUAGUGAACCAGUACCGUGAGGGAAAGGCGAAAAGAACCCCGGCGAGGGGAGUGAAAAAGAACCUGAAACCGUGUACGUACAAGCAGUGGGAGCACCCUUUUGGGUGUGACUGCGUACCUUUUGUAUAAUGGGUCAGCGACUUAUAUUCUGUAGCAAGGUUAACCGAAUAGGGGAGCCGGAGGGAAACCGAGUCUUAAUUGGGCGUUAAGUUGCAGGGUAUAGACCCGAAACCCGGUGAUCUAGCCAUGGGCAGGUUGAAGGUUGGGUAACACUAACUGGAGGACCGAACCGACUAAUGUUGAAAAAUUAGCGGAUGACCUGUGGCUGGGGGUGAAAGGCCAAUCAAACCGGGAGAUAGCUGGUUCUCCCCGAAAGCUAUUUAGGUAGCGCCUCGUGAACUCAUCUCCGGGGGUAGAGCACUGUUUCGGCUAGGGGGCCAUCCCGGCUUACCAACCCGAUGCAAACUGCGAAUACCGGAGAAUGUUAUCACGGGAGACACACGGCGGGUGCUAACGUCCGUCGUGAAGAGGGAAACAACCCAGACCGCCAGCUAAGGUCCCAAAGUCAUGGUUAAGUGGGAAACGAUGUGGGAAGGCCCAGACAGCCAGGAUGUUGGCUUAGAAGCAGCCAUCAUUUAAAGAAAGCGUAAUAGCUCACUGGUCGAGUCGGCCUGCGCGGAAGAUGUAACGGGGCUAAACCAUGCACCGAAGCUGCGGCAGCGACGCUCAGGCGUUGUUGGGUAGGGGAGCGUUCUGUAAGCCUGUGAAGGUGGCCUGUGAGGGUUGCUGGAGGUAUCAGAAGUGCGAAUGCUGACAUAAGUAACGAUAAAGCGGGUGAAAAGCCCGCUCGCCGGAAGACCAAGGGUUCCUGUCCAACGUUAAUCGGGGCAGGGUGAGUCGACCCCUAAGGCGAGGCCGAAAGGCGUAGUCGAUGGGAAACGGGUUAAUAUUCCCGUACUUGGUGUUACUGCGAAGGGGGGACGGAGAAGGCUAUGUUGGCCGGGCGACGGUUGUCCCGGUUUAAGCGUGUAGGUGUGUGUUCCAGGUAAAUCCGGUUCACUUUAACACUGAGGCGUGACGACGAGGCACUACGGUGCUGAAGCAACAAAUGCCCUGCUUCCAGGAAAAGCCUCUAAGCAUCAGGUAACAUCAAAUCGUACCCCAAACCGACACAGGUGGUCAGGUAGAGAAUACCAAGGCGCUUGAGAGAACUCGGGUGAAGGAACUAGGCAAAAUGGUGCCGUAACUUCGGGAGAAGGCACGCUGACACGUAGGUGAAGUGAUUUACUCAUGGAGCUGAAGUCAGUCGAAGAUACCAGCUGGCUGCAACUGUUUAUUAAAAACACAGCACUGUGCAAACACGAAAGUGGACGUAUACGGUGUGACGCCUGCCCGGUGCCGGAAGGUUAAUUGAUGGGGUCAGCGCAAGCGAAGCUCCUGAUCGAAGCCCCGGUAAACGGCGGCCGUAACUAUAACGGUCCUAAGGUAGCGAAAUUCCUUGUCGGGUAAGUUCCGACCUGCACGAAUGGCGUAAUGAUGGCCAGGCUGUCUCCACCCGAGACUCAGUGAAAUUGAACUCGCUGUGAAGAUGCAGUGUACCCGCGGCAAGACGGAAAGACCCCGUGAACCUUUACUAUAGCUUGACACUGAACAUUGAGCCUUGAUGUGUAGGAUAGGUGGGAGGCUUUGAAGCGUGGACGCCAGUCUGCGUGGAGCCGACCUUGAAAUACCACCCUUUAAUGUUUGAUGUUCUAACGUGGACCCGUUACCCGGGUUGCGGACAGUGUCUGGUGGGUAGUUUGACUGGGGCGGUCUCCUCCUAAAGAGUAACGGAGGAGCACGAAGGUUGGCUAAUCCUGGUCGGACAUCAGGAGGUUAGUGCAAUGGCAUAAGCCAGCUUGACUGCGAGCGUGACGGCGCGAGCAGGUGCGAAAGCAGGUCAUAGUGAUCCGGUGGUUCUGAAUGGAAGGGCCAUCGCUCAACGGAUAAAAGGUACUCCGGGGAUAACAGGCUGAUACCGCCCAAGAGUUCAUAUCGACGGCGGUGUUUGGCACCUCGAUGUCGGCUCAUCACAUCCUGGGGCUGAAGUAGGUCCCAAGGGUAUGGCUGUUCGCCAUUUAAAGUGGUACGCGAGCUGGGUUUAGAACGUCGUGAGACAGUUCGGUCCCUAUCUGCCGUGGGCGCUGGAGAACUGAGGGGGGCUGCUCCUAGUACGAGAGGACCGGAGUGGACGCAUCACUGGUGUUCGGGUUGUCAUGCCAAUGGCACUGCCCGGUAGCUAAAUGCGGAAGAGAUAAGUGCUGAAAGCAUCUAAGCACGAAACUUGCCCCGA
This 2400-nucleotide ribosomal RNA is filed under the name Salmonella enterica subsp. enterica serovar Oslo. RNAcentral describes it as "partial 23S ribosomal RNA". It matches the Rfam family "Bacterial large subunit ribosomal RNA", at positions 419 to 2802 of the family's 2925-position model. The record is from RNAcentral. Lineage: Bacteria; Pseudomonadati; Pseudomonadota; Gammaproteobacteria; Enterobacterales; Enterobacteriaceae.